UUGGGUUUGAAUCGGAGAGCUGAAUGGUGACCUCUGGACAGUGAGUGGCAGUUGUGUUUAAAAAAAAAUAAAAACUGUUUGUUUCUGAGGCCAGGCCUGGAAGUUAAUUGCAGUUUGGUUCUUGAUCAAAAGCUCUGUAGACUCUUCUGGCCACUAAUGAGGUCACUAUCUGGGAACUGGCGCCAGCAAGUCUGGCAGAGGACAUGAUCAAACAGAAGGAAGGGUCAAAGUUCUUUAGAAUGGAGGCUUUCUGAGAAAACGUUGUUAAUGUUACAACAUGAAGGUUUGACAAUCCAAUGUACCUGUGAAACAAUGCAUCAUACAAGCUGCUUAAGUAAUUUGGUCAGUUUUGUUUUGAUAUUUUAAUUUAUCCCAUGAUUGUCAUUGGUGUGAAUGGGGCUGGAGACAAAGGUUAUUGGGUUAAAUCAUUACUGUGUUAACUGAGGAGUAUGCACAGUAUGGUGUUGGCAGAUGCUUGUGCCUGUGCUAGUGACUGAGUUUGAUGGGAAAAGUGUCCACAUGCACAUCUUUGUCGCAGUGCUUACUGCCAAUGUGAAAGAGGCUGAGGGAAAGAUCAGAGAGUGGAGGGAGAGAACCGAGCAGGGUGGGGGGGUGGUGCGUGAUUUGGAAAUUGGGGUUAUUCUUCGCCCAUCACCCCACCACAAAACCCAGCCCACUGUUUCUCUCACUGCUUCCCUUCCCCAGCCAUAUGUCUUUCCCUACCCCAGCCCUGGUCCCACUCCCCUCUUUCCCCAGUAUCAGCAAACUUCCAAAGAUAUUUCCUACAUAUUAUGUUGCUUUUCUGAGAACCUUCAACAAUUUGAGAACUGGAUAGAAAACGAGAGACAGAGCAGCCACUCCAGAAGCUUCCAAAAUCACUCUGCACCUUGACCUUCUUGAAUGGUUGCACUUGGAGUGCUGAAGUUGCUCCCAGAUUGCUGUCUGGCGAUCAGAAGUGGACACAUUACCCCAGAAGAGGCCUCACCGACGUUCUGUACAAGCUCAACAUAACAUCCCAACUCCUCUCAAAGGUCUGAGCAAUGAAGGAUAUGGGCAUUGCUGGCUCGGCCAGAAUUUAUUGCCCAGAGGGCUGUCCAGAGUCAACUGCAUUGCUGUGGGACUGGAGUAACGUACAGGCCAGACCAGGGAAUUGGAAAGGGGGAAUUCACAGACAGGCAGCUCAAGUCAAACAUUGGAUCAAGAGCUGCCAGUAACACUCGGUCCUCAGGAGCUUUGAACAUGGAAGGUAAAAGCAACGUUCACAGUGAAGAGAAACCAUACACGUGGUCUGUGUGGACAAGCCUUCAGUCAAUUGUCUGGCCUGUCGAUACGUAAAUGCAAUCAAAACAGGGUGACAACAAUGACAUCAAGCAGCACUUGCUUUGUAAUGUCAUGGUCAUGGAUCUCAGUUUGAGUUCAGCAAGAGCCACUCAGCUCCUGGUCUCCUUACAAUCUUGGUGCAAACAUGGACCAAACAGCUGAAUUCCAAAUGUGAGAGGGACUAUCCGCUAUCUUAAGGCUCCAUUUGACACGGCAUUGUAUUAAGGAAUCAUAACAAAGCUAAAGUCAAUGGGAACGAGAGGAUGUUAUUCUUCCUUAGAUAGCUGGUUUUUGAAAAGAUUGCAUCUUCAGACCUCGGUAGAUCAAAACAAGGUGAAUUUAAUCAAACUUGUACCACAGACAUGUGGAAGAGGUCUCGAAGUCUAGCUUGGAGACACUCAACUUUUUACAGCUCAAUACAGCAUAUUAAGACACCUUCGUGUCAGAAUGGUUGCACGUAACAUUGGUAUUAAAUAAAUUGUAUGUCAGUUACUUAC
Long non-coding RNA from Rhincodon typus (whale shark), 1817 nucleotides. RefSeq lists it as uncharacterized. The transcript has 4 exons. Lineage: Eukaryota; Metazoa; Chordata; Chondrichthyes; Orectolobiformes; Rhincodontidae. The record is from RefSeq and is a predicted model, not a curated record.